RNAcentral lists this ribosomal RNA (497 nucleotides) under uncultured bacterium. Its description in RNAcentral is "partial 16S ribosomal RNA". It matches the Rfam family "Bacterial small subunit ribosomal RNA", at positions 29 to 507 of the family's 1533-position model. The record is from RNAcentral.
AACGAACGCUGGCGGCGUGCCUAAUACAUGCAAGUUGAGCGCUGAAGGUUGGUACUUGUACCAACUGGAUGAGCAGCGAACGGGUGAGUAACGCGUGGGGAAUCUGCCUUUGAGCGGGGGACAACAUUUGGAAACGAAUGCUAAUACCGCAUAAAAACUUUAAACACAAGUUUUAAGUUUGAAAGAUGCAAUUGCAUCACUCAAAGAUGAUCCCGCGUUGUAUUAGCUAGUUGGUGAGGUAAAGGCUCACCAAGGCGAUGAUACAUAGCCGACCUGAGAGGGUGAUCGGCCACAUUGGGACUGAGACACGGCCCAAACUCCUACGGGAGGCAGCAGUAGUGAAUCUUCGGCAAUGGACGAAAGUCUGACCGAGCAACGCCGCGUGAGUGAAGAAGGUUUUCGGAUCGUAAAACUCGGUUGGUAGAGAAGAACGUUGGUGAGAGUGGAAAGCUCAUCAAGUGACGGUAACUACCCAGAAAGGGACGGCUAACUACGUG